GAUACCCAUCAUUAGACACGUUGCACCGAAACCAUAACAAUUUAGAUUUAGUCUGUUCAUGACCAUCCGAUGAUCCACUGGGAUUACUUUGUGCACUUCCGUGA
Thalassophryne amazonica is the source of this 104-nucleotide long non-coding RNA. RefSeq lists it as uncharacterized. NCBI's taxonomy places the organism in Eukaryota, Metazoa, Chordata, Actinopteri, Batrachoidiformes, Batrachoididae. The transcript is spliced from 3 exons. The record is from RefSeq and is a predicted model, not a curated record.